AACGGCCGCGGUAUCCUAACCGUGCAAAGGUAGCAUAAUCAUUUGCCCAUUAAUUGUGGGCUAGUAUGAAAGGGUUAACGAAAUAAAAACUGUCUCAAUUAAUCACCUAAAAACUAUUCUCUACUUGAAGAAAAGUAGAUUACCUCGAAGGACAAGAAGACCCUAUAGAGCUUAAUUUUAAUUAUAGAGCACACACUAUAAAAAUAUUCGGUUGGGGCGACCCAGGGCUAACUAAUCACCCACAAAAAAAAAGAUAUAUAAAUCAAAUAAAUGACCCUCAUAGAUCAAAAGACCAAGCUACCUUAGGGAUAACAGGCUAAUCCCACUUAAGAGUCCUUAUCAACAGUGGGGUUUGGCACCUCGAUGUUGGCUUAGG
This 376-nucleotide ribosomal RNA is filed under the name Metaphire hilgendorfi. RNAcentral describes it as "partial 16S ribosomal RNA". It matches the Rfam family "Bacterial large subunit ribosomal RNA", at positions 1926 to 2541 of the family's 2925-position model. Lineage: Eukaryota; Metazoa; Annelida; Clitellata; Crassiclitellata; Megascolecidae. The record is from RNAcentral.